Molecule: ribosomal RNA, 870 nt
Filed under: Mytilinidion mytilinellum
Lineage: Eukaryota; Fungi; Ascomycota; Dothideomycetes; Mytilinidiales; Mytilinidiaceae
Description: LSU rRNA
Rfam family: Eukaryotic large subunit ribosomal RNA
Source: RNAcentral
GCAUAUCAAAGCGAGAAAGAACACAGGAUUGCCUUAGUAACGGCGAGUGAAGCGGCAAUAGCUCAAAUUUGAAAUCUGGCACCUUUGGGUGUCCGAGUUGUAAUUUGUAGAGGAUGUUUCGGUAUUGGCUCUAAUCUAAGUCCCUUGGAACAGGGUGUCAUAGAGGGUGAGAGUCCCGUAUGUGAUUAGUUGUCUUUGCCAUGUGAAGCUCCUUCGACGAGUCGAGUUGUUUGGGAAUGCAGCUCUAAUUGGGAGGUAAAUUUCUUCUAAAGCUAAAUACUGGCCAGAGACCGAUAGCGCACAAGUAGAGUGAUCGAAAGAUGAAAAGCACUUUGGAAAGAGAGUUAAACAGUACGUGAAAUUGUUGAAAGGGAAGCGCUUGCAAAUCAGACCUGCUUGCAGUUGUUCAUCUAAGCUUUUGGGUUUAGUGCAUUCUUCUGUAAGUCAGGCCAGUAUCAGUUCAGGCGGUUGGAUAAAGAAUUCAGGAAUGUAGCUCUUUUCGGGGAGUGUUAUAGCCUGUUUUGUAAUGCAGUCAGCCUGGAUUGAGGACCGCGCUUCGGCUAGGAUACUGGCGUAAUGGUUGUAAGCGGCCCGUCUUGAAACACGGACCAAGGAGUCUAACAUCUGUGCGAGUGUUCGGGUGUUAAACCCGUGCGCGUAAUGAAAGUGAACGGAGGCGGGAACCUUUUAGGUGCACCGUCGACCGAUCCUGAUGUCUUCGGAUGGAUUUGAGUAAGAGCAUAGCUGUUGGGACCCGAAAGAUGGUGAACUAUGCUUGAAUAGGGUGAAGCCAGAGGAAACUCUGGUGGAGGCUCGCAGCGGUUCUGACGUGCAAAUCGAUCGUCAAAUUUGGGCAUAGGGGCGAAAGAC